UUUGGAUUUUGGAAAGUGGACCAAAACCGGGAUGAAAUAACCCGCUGUCGGUCCGGGUUACUGUUCAUCCGGGUGGAAAAUAAGAAAUUUCAUGCCAUAAUAUGGUAUUAAGCCUAGAUUAGGCUAAGGGAGACCUUGUACUCGUGCAAGGGAGUCCCUAAUACACAUAAAUGAUGAGUUAAUUAAUAGAAAAAGAAAAAGAGAAAGAAAAGAAAAGAUUUAGGGAACGGGGGAGUUGAAUCAAUUAAAGUUUUCUAUAUUAUAAUUGGCACGUAGAUUAUAGCCCUUGAUACAAAACUAAAUAUAUUGUAAAUGCAUGUAUCAGUUGGGCAAGAAGCUAGG
This 342-nucleotide long non-coding RNA is filed under the name Phoenix dactylifera (date palm). Its description in RNAcentral is "long non-coding RNA (PDAC_LNC014421)". The record is from RNAcentral. Lineage: Eukaryota; Viridiplantae; Streptophyta; Magnoliopsida; Arecales; Arecaceae.